AUAAACCUGCCGUGUUUGUUAGCUUUUUUAAUGUUUUGAACCUUGUAUAUAAAAAGGGAGUCUUACAUGAUUGACAGGACAGCCUGCCUUGUUUUAGGCGACGCUGGAAUGGCAUUUGCGGACACCCACCUACUCAGAGUAGGUUCAUGAAACAUGGGGAGCAACGGCAUCUGCGGGUUUUUU
Molecule: non-coding RNA, 183 nt
Filed under: Bacilli bacterium
Lineage: Bacteria; Bacillati; Bacillota; Bacilli
Description: 6S RNA
Rfam family: 6S / SsrS RNA
About the family: E. coli 6S RNA was the first non coding RNA to be sequenced, but its function was unknown until recently.
Source: RNAcentral